This is a small nucleolar RNA of Cricetulus griseus (Chinese hamster), 104 nucleotides long. NCBI's taxonomy places the organism in Eukaryota, Metazoa, Chordata, Mammalia, Rodentia, Cricetidae. The record is from Ensembl.
CUGCUUACGGUGCACCGUAAAUAAAACCAACACUAGGGAGCAGAGGAAAAUGCCCCUGCACUUCCUGUCUUUGUGGUGGUUCAAACUGAAUCAGGGAGUCAUUU